UAACGAGGAGUAAAUAAAAAUUAGAAAAAUAUAGAAAUAAAAAUUGAGCUGAAAAAUAAUUAGAUGAGGAAAAAAGUAAGUAGAAAAGUAGAAAUAAUAGUCUCAUUCUCGAUAUGAAUUUUGUAUUAAGCACCCGUUUGGUUCGGGGUUAAGGGGUGGAAUAACCCCUUAACCCCGAAGUUAUUCCCAAACACCUAAUUUGGGGGGUGGGGUUAGCUAACCCUAUCCCACCCCACUACUCCAACCAAACAAAACACUUUUUUACCCACUAUCCUUCUUAUUCCACUUACUCCAACCAAACACUAUUUUACCGAAUCCUGAACUAACUCCAAUUCUCAACCAAAUACAAAAUUACUCUAACCCCACCUUAACCCUGAACUUAACUCUAUCCCUGGAAUAACUAGCUUUUUUUUAACCCCAAACCAAACGAUAUAAGGGUUUUUAGGAAGCCAUAUAGGGCCAGCUCAGGCCCACAUAAUUGAAUCCAAAAAUAUGACAAAUUAAAUCUUUUAGAUUUGCACCUACUAGUGCAAUUCUGUAAUUUUCUGUUUUAUUAAUUAUCCAAUGUAGGACUAUUCACAUGUGAACUAUUUGGUUUCUCAAAAAAAUGUGAAAAAAAAGAAAAAGGAUUCAUAAAAAACCUUUUCAGUUUUCCGUCUGUUAGGUUUUAAGAAAAAAAGUUUUUAUAGAAAAUUGUUU
RNAcentral lists this long non-coding RNA (699 nucleotides) under Ananas comosus (pineapple). Its description in RNAcentral is "long non-coding RNA (ACOM_LNC003796)". Lineage: Eukaryota; Viridiplantae; Streptophyta; Magnoliopsida; Poales; Bromeliaceae. The record is from RNAcentral.